UACGUAGGGGGCAAGCGUUAUCCAGAUUUACUGGGUGUAAAGGGGGCGCAGACGGCGAUGCAAGCCAGGAGUGAAAGCCCGGGGCCCAACCCCGGGACUGCUCUUGGAACUGCGUGGCUGGAGUGCAGGAGGGGCAGGCGGAAUUCCUGGUGUAGCGGUGAAAUGCGUAGAUAUCAGGAGGAACACCGGUGGCGAAGGCGGCCUGCUGGACUGCAACUGACGUUGAGGCCCGAAAGCGUGGGGAGCAAACAGG
RNAcentral lists this ribosomal RNA (253 nucleotides) under uncultured bacterium. Its description in RNAcentral is "partial 16S ribosomal RNA". It matches the Rfam family "Bacterial small subunit ribosomal RNA", at positions 524 to 776 of the family's 1533-position model. The record is from RNAcentral.